CUUUUUUUCAAAAUUCCCACCUUCAUUUUACGCAAAGCAAGAACACGAUGAGAUUUCGGACCCCCAUCAACCAGAAUCUUAAAAAAUGGCGGAGAGGGCAGCAGAUUUGAUGGCCGGCGGCGUAGGUACGUAAAACUCAUCGUCAGUCCAAUUCGUUUCCCCCCAAUGUCUCAACAUCCCCUUCCAAGAACAUACAUUGUCUAUGCAUUUCUUCAAUCUCUUGUCUUUUACUUUGAUUCUCCAAUGGCCGUCUGUGUAAUUCCCAAUCUCUGCUUGUAUUCUGUCCCAUUCUAGUUGAGCCUUUUGCUUCGAUCUCAAAAGGCAAAAUUGUUGCAACAGCUCUGGCAUUUGGUCGUGGACCGUCCACCACCGUUGAUGUGCAACAUCACUUGCAAAUUCUUGCAUUAUAUCCACAUUCCAAUUGCAAUCAUAGUCUCUGAAGCACAUCCAUGGUUUUGUUCCCAAAUAGUGAAGAACAUAAAGGAUUGGUGGGUCUGCUCCAAAUAGCCUUGUUUUCAUUUGUUUUGUUUCUUCAUCAUCGCCCAUCCAGAAGUUCUUCAAGAAGUUCAUGUGUUUUGGGAUUCUAUGCCACCAAGUGAAUACCUCGUUUAAGUAUCCUUGGUCCCCUCCAUUGUAGGAUUCGAAUUCGUUUAUGUGUUCCAUUAGAAGUUGGAAGGUACAAUUUGAAGGCUCUAUGAGCAUUACUCCUGAGUUGAAGAGGGUGCCAUUGUUUCCUGUUGCUGAGAUCUCUGGCAUUCCGAAUAAGAAGUCGAUGUUUCGGAAGAUUAGAAGGUCGGCGUCGAUGAAGAUGAUCUUGUCAUAGUCUGUUAGUUGCCAUAGCCUGAACUUGCUGUAGUUCCACUCGUUGUAUGCAUCUUUUUCUGCUUUUGGGUUCCUGAUCCUUUGGAUUAUUCUUAUUUUCCAUCCUGCUGCUUCUAGGCCACUCUUGUGAUAGGAACUGAUUGUCUCGUCGACGAGUAUCACGAGGUCCCUAGUCGACCCUGACAUCCGAAUGCUUUGCGCUGCUGCAAUCGCGCCACAGACAUAAACGUGAGCUGAAUGGAGAAUUGUUGCAUAGGCUUCUCGGAGCAUGUUUCCUGAGUAAGGAACCUCUGUUUUGAAAGAUAACUUAUUAGAGAAGAAAAAGGAUCGUUUUUUAUAAGUAUUAUACUCAGUUUAGCUCAAGUUUCGCUCAAUUCCAUUUGGGGUGAAUGAUUUCUUUACUUCUCAUAAACAAAACUGCAUUUCAUCAUGGGAAAAAUCUUCACAUUAAUUUUUUUGUAAAAGGAUGUGUUUGUAGUGCCAUUGUUAUCUAUCAUAGGACUGACCUUUGCCUUUUAGGGGCAGUGCAAGUUCACAAGAACCAACUGGGAGCUGUAUCUUUUCUCUGAUCACAUUCAAGUUUGGUCGGUACAGCCACACAUUUCCUCGCCGUGCAACAAGAUCCUUGCAUGUAAACAAGUUCGGUAUUGGGAAGCAGUU
Molecule: long non-coding RNA, 1482 nt
Filed under: Cucumis sativus (cucumber)
Lineage: Eukaryota; Viridiplantae; Streptophyta; Magnoliopsida; Cucurbitales; Cucurbitaceae
Description: long non-coding RNA (CSAT_LNC002471)
Source: RNAcentral